AGUGAGUGCUGAGUGUUUAACAUAGAAUGGACGACUAAAUACUUUUUCACUGAAGUCUGGUCAAAGGCUGUAUGUCUAAUUUGUUAUGGAAACCAUUGCGGUUUUAGAGGAAUAUAACAUCAGCAGUUAAAAUCAAGCUUGCAGGCUCAGAAAAACACCUUUAUCUGACAAACUACCAUCCAAGACCCUGAAACAGCGCUACGGGAGCUGCAGUUGGAAUUGAUUGAUGUCCAAUGUGAUACUGUCUUAAAAGAGAAGUCUCAAACUGGAUGAGUUUCAUGCUUCAUUAAGCGCAGACAAAUUUCCAAAAAUACGGAAGGUGGCACAGAGGAUGCUGGUGGUGUUUGGCGCUACAUAUGUGUGUGAACAGACUUAGUGUGAUGAACACCAAAAAACAUCCGACAGAUCCCAGCUGAGUGAUGAACACCUCAGAUGUGUUCUGAGAAUUGCCGCGUCAAAACUAACACCGGACUGUGAUGCACUGGCAAAAAAAAAGCAUCUGGUUCUGGUUUGGGUGCCUGUCAAAUUUUAAAAGUCAAUGUGGCUUCUGAGCCAAAACGUUUGCCCACGCCUGGCCAAGCUGGACAUCGGGAUGCGGAGGAUGGUCAGUAGCUGAGUUCGCUGCACGCAUGUUCAUGAGUCACAACCAAAGCCGGCUGUUCGAGAGCUUGCAGAGAGAGAGAUAGGUUCUGAUUGGGCUUCUGGACGCGGAAGUAAAGCAGCAUCAAGCUUGUAGGCAGGAGCUCCCAGAAGAACAAAAUGAUCCCAAACACCAUGUAGGCCUCGCCGCUGAGCUUCAACACAGCCUGCAACAAACACGCAAG
Molecule: long non-coding RNA, 824 nt
Organism: Phyllopteryx taeniolatus (common seadragon)
Lineage: Eukaryota; Metazoa; Chordata; Actinopteri; Syngnathiformes; Syngnathidae
Exons: 3
Source: RefSeq, a predicted model, not a curated record